Molecule: transfer RNA, 67 nt
Filed under: Hylemya variata
Lineage: Eukaryota; Metazoa; Arthropoda; Insecta; Diptera; Anthomyiidae
Description: tRNA-Phe
Source: RNAcentral
AUUUAAAUAGCUUAUAAUUAGAGCAUAACAUUGAAGAUGUUAGGGGGAUUAAGAUAAUCUUUGAAUA